Molecule: ribosomal RNA, 253 nt
Filed under: uncultured bacterium
Lineage: Bacteria
Description: partial 16S ribosomal RNA
Rfam family: Bacterial small subunit ribosomal RNA
Source: RNAcentral
UACGAAGGGGGCUAGCGUUGCUCGGAAUCACUGGGCGUAAAGGGCGCGUAGGCGGAUCUUUAAGUCGGGGGUGAAAGCCUGAGGCUCAACUCCAGAACUGCCUUUGAUACUGGCGAUCUUGAGUCCGGGAGAGGUGAGUGGAACUGCGAGUGUAGAGGUGAAAUUCGUAGAUAUUCGCAAGAACACCAGUGGCGAAGGCGGCUCACUGGCCCGGUACUGACGCUGAGGUGCGAAAGCGUGGGGAGCAAACAGG